CCCUAGCCCGCCACCGCCUCCGAUGGGUGACGGCCACGCCGCCGAUAAACCCACGCCGCCGCCGCCGCCGCGGCCGGUCUUGCUCGCCGGCGCUUCGGGCGACGCCAAGCUCUGCCGCGCCGCGGCGCUGUCACGCGAGGAGGUCAUCCGCCGCCGCCGGCGCGGCCUCCUGCAGCUCCACUCCCUCUACCGCGCCCAGCUCUGGGCGCUCGCCGACGAGCUCUCCGCGAGGCACGCCGAGUACUGGUGGGAGCACGGCUCCAGCCCCGACGCCGGGAAUGCCGUUGGUGGCGGCGCUCCCCCUCCUCCUCAUCCGGCUGUGAAUGGCGGCGGCGCUGCUGUCGAGAUUGCGGCUGCCAGGGCGGGGUGCUCCGCGGCGAAUUGCGGCGCCAAGGCGAUGCCCUUCGCGGCCUACUGCUUCGAUCACAUCCUCUUCGACCCCAAGCAGCUGCUCUACAAGCCCUGCGCCUUCGUCACCAACCGAAGUGGCAUGCAAAAUGGGGUAGAAACUUGUGGGAAACCUGUUCUGACAGGCAUUACUCCAUCACGAUGUUCUGAUCAUGAUCCAAAAUCUCAGAGGCUCGUUAUAGAAGCUUUGAAAAAAGUUGGAAUUGACCUGCACUUGACAAGCAAUGGAGUGCCAAAACUGAAUCUAUUGAUUUGUGAAACAGUCCGCCAAAUUCAGAGGAAAAGAAAGAUGCAGUUGAAUGGCGCAAAGAAUGCGCCAUUUCAUAGAUCGUCGGAUUGAUUCUUUUGGAUCAACAUAUGAUCCUGUUGUACAUGAAGGCUGACAGACAUGACGAUCAUCCACUGUAAAUACCAGGUAUACCAGGUAUUGAGGAUUUGAGGUGCACCUCGUAGUUCAAAGGAAAAACAAUAAGAGCCAGAAAACACGCUGGAGGUUUUAUUACAGUGCAAAAAUCUUUGCAAAGAAUAAUCUUUCCCUCUACCAUCCUUGAAGGAAGUCGAAGUUGGACUUUAAGCUUCCAAGGAAAUGUAAAAUGUUCUUUUUUGGAUCAUAUUAGGCUACCCAUUUAGGGAUGUACAGCCUUAUCAGUAUGUUGUAGUUUUAGCAUGUGUUGCUGGAGGCCAAGAGCACUCCCAGCAGUGACGACAGCACACCUAGUACCCCUGCACUAUUACAAGCCUGCUCUCUUAUCUCUAUGUGACUUAUCUUUUCAUUGAUGAAGACUGCUCUCUAUGUGACUGAGAACAGCCGAAAAAAUCUGAAAGAAACAGGCACCACAAGCAUCCACCACAUUCUCUCUCUCUGUAAUCUGGUAAUAUGAUCCUCCACCUUUGAGAAUCAAACACUAUUUUACUAUUGGAACCUACUUCAAAUCCACUGAAAAUCAUUGAUAUGUA
This is an RNA transcript of Oryza sativa Japonica Group (Japanese rice), 1365 nucleotides long. RefSeq lists it as uncharacterized. The record is from RefSeq and is a predicted model, not a curated record. NCBI's taxonomy places the organism in Eukaryota, Viridiplantae, Streptophyta, Magnoliopsida, Poales, Poaceae.